Molecule: long non-coding RNA, 2064 nt
Organism: Cyprinus carpio carpio
Lineage: Eukaryota; Metazoa; Chordata; Actinopteri; Cypriniformes; Cyprinidae
Source: Ensembl
UAUAUAUAUAUAUAUAUAUAUAUAUAUAUAUAUUUGUAAACUGAGAUAAUUUGAUGAAUAAAAAGUUAAAAAGAACAGCAUUUAUUCAGAAUAAAAGCCUUUUCUAACCAUGUACAUCUUUGCUAUCACCUCUUAUCAAUUUAACACAUCCUUACUGAAUAAAAGUUUUAAUUUCAGUCCAAAACAAAAAGCAAAAAAGAAACAUUUACUGACCCUAAACUAUAGUGUAUAUUGUUAGAAAAGAUUUCUAUUUUAAAUAAAUGCUCUUCUUUUUAACUUUUUAUUCAUAAAAGAAUCCUGAAAAAAAGGAGUACAGGAUCCAAAAAUGACCCAGCACUGAUAAUAAAUCAGAGUAUUAGAAUGAUUUCCGAAUGAUCAUGUGACACUGAAGACUGGAGUAAUGAUGCUGAAAAUUCAGCUUUGCUUCACAGGAAUAAAUUGGAUUUUAAUUUAUGUUAAAAUAGAAAAAUGUUACAAUAUUAUUUUUUUUCCUGUAUUUUUGAUCAAAUAAAUGCCGCUUUGGUGAGCAUAAGAAACUCCUUUAAAAAACAUUAAAAACUGUUCUGAUCCCAAACUUUUAAAAGUCAGUGUGUGUAUAUAUAGAUAGAUAGAUAGAUAGAUAGAUAGAUAGAUAGAUAGAUAGAUAGAUAGAAAGAUAGAUAUCGUCAAACCAAAACCUUCAACAUUUCUCACAUUAUCACAGUUUAUUCGCUAUAGUUUAGAAAAUGGUAAUAAAAUAUGACAAGAACUCAGAGUUAAACUGUCAGAACAAAUUCUUCUUGAUAAUGUCAGAUAGCUUUGAUAGAAAGGUAUGUAAUGAAUUAGUUUGAAAAGCUGUCAGCUGUUAAAUUUAAGUACACAAUUAGAUAAUAGCAAUUAAGGUCAACCAGUUACAAAGGCAAUGCUUAACUUUGUUCAGUCUGUGGUGUAAAAAGGUCUCAUUAGCAAUUAAAGUAAAAAAAAAAAAAAAGAAAAAAAAAACCUACAGAAAAACAUGGUCAGGUUAGAGUGUUUUAAUAAUUUUUGGUCCCAAAUUGUAAUUAAUUUUACUAAUAGUCCACUGUAUGAAGAAUUUUGGGGUAUAAUAUGUCACAGUUCACUUUAUUCUGCUAUCCUCACUUACAUAAAUUAACUAUAGUGUCCUGCACCCACUUGUGAAAACAAAAAUAUAUGUUAAAAAUUGUAUCUGGUGUCUGAAUAAUUUUUGGCUUGUCUGUAUAUGUAUAUUAUCAUUUAUUUUGUUUAUUUUGCUUCUGACGCUUUACAUAUACACCAAGAUAAUGAUAUUGUGCAAAAUGAUACAAAAAAUAAAAAUUAUACUAUAAAAAUAAAAAUAAUAAAAAAGCUGUUAUGUAUUGCACACAUAUAGGACAGGAAGUCAAAAAGGGACAUCCUUUGAUGUGGCACGUCUGAUCCAAAUUGUUUUGUACAUGUCUAGUAGCUUCCAUCAACACUAGAAAUCUUAAAAGAAGAUUUCAACAAAAAAACAGAUCGCCAUCAAGCGUGUGUUUUGUCUUCUCAUAUCAUGCCUGACAUUCCAACCUGGGUCCAAAGACACACACACAGACACACACAUACACACACUAAAGCCUAUACACACAUACAUAAAGUUAUUCAACAGCACAUUUGGUGCACUGAAGUUCAUCCCUUUGAGCUUAGACUGCUGGUACAAGAUCAAUGUGCUGUAUUCAGUACUUAUACUCACCACAUGGUGGCACUAGACACAUUUUAAAAGGACCCCGAUAAGCUAGUAUUUCCAUAAAGUGAUAAAAGCCAAACACUGCACAUACUCUAGCAAAUAGAUACUCCAGAUAACAAUAGUGAUACAAACAUUCUAUACUGGCCCCCUCGAAAAUAAUACAAGAUGAAACUCAGAAUUGAUCUGACUUCUGACAAACAGCAUAACACUCAAACCGCAAAUGGUGUAAUGCUUUAAAAAAAUAUAUAUUAAAUGCAAAUUUCAGAGUUUGUUCAAAGUAUUCAAAUAUACAAAUAGUGAGAAAUACAUUUAACAUUCAUUUUAAAUGGAAAGAUGUUAAGAUAUAUUUUUAUUUAAAUAAAUCC